Malus domestica (apple) is the source of this 2043-nucleotide non-coding RNA. The record is from RefSeq and is a predicted model, not a curated record. NCBI's taxonomy places the organism in Eukaryota, Viridiplantae, Streptophyta, Magnoliopsida, Rosales, Rosaceae.
UUUCUUCUUCUCACUCUCUAACUCUCUAAGCUCCGAGAACUCCCAACCCCUCUUCCCUUCGAAUCAACAACAAAUCAAGCCCAAAAUUUAUAUAUUUGGAAUCCUUGAGACCUAACAAACUCAAUGGUACCCUUGCAUGCGCCAUCAAAGCACUGUGGACUUUUCUGCCAUUGAAGCUGAGAGCUUCAAAGCUCUAAAACUAGAACCCAGAACCCGGUUCCGACAACGAACUCCGGCGAGUUUGUUGCUGUGGAUUGCACGGAUCCCUUCGAACCUAAACCCAGGUGAAGUUGCUAGUGGAGACUUCCUUAAUCAUUUUCCGCACAAUUCUGCUGCUUCGGAGUAUUUGUGAGUGGACCACCUUCGAAAAUUGCAUGUUUUAUUGAUAGAAUUGCAUAAUUUAAUAGCAUGCCUUGCAGAAUUGUUGAUUUGAGGAAUACUUUACAGGAAGUAUGAUGAUUUGAUUAUACGUGAUUAUAUAUAUAUAUAUAUAUAUAUAUAUAUAUAUAUAUGUUUUGAACUAUUUCCAUUAUAUCGUAUUUUCUAUAGAACCCUUAUUCUGGUAGACUAUCUGAUCGAUGACGAUAGGAUGCUAAGAAUGUGUUUCAAAUGACUUUCGAACACCUCUUCGUAGUAUAGAGGAUCGAUGAAUUUAUGCUACAAAGUUGUAUUUUAGAGAUGAAUUAUGUUUUGUGCGUACCUAGUGAACAAUAUGCCGUCUGGGACGAGGAUCUGGUGUUGGCAUUGAGGCCGGGAGAAAUAAUCCCUAGCGAAAGGCUGAGGGACACGGAGACAGGCAUUGGGCCGGGAGGGAGAUAUCUCUGACUACGGGCACAGAGACUGAGGUGCAGGCAUUGGGCCGGGAGUAUUAUUAUUCAGUGCACUCACUAGCAACAUAACUUGUGUUAUGCUUCCUGAUAUGAUUUCUGAUAUGAUUUCUGAUAUGAUUUUCUGAGAUUGAUUUGCAGAUGGAUAUAUCAAUUGUUUUAUGAAUUUCUGAUAUGAUUUUCUGAGAUUGAUUUGCAGAUGGAUAUAUCAAUUGUUUUAUGGCAUGUUAGAGUUUUCUGAAAAGCUUAUCACUUAUUAUUCUAAUAGUUUUCAUUAUUAAACUGUGGGGGUUAGUAUGUUCAUAACUGUUUUCGUACUAUGUAUGUAUAAAUUUGGUCCACUCACCCUUGUUUUGUGCCCCCAUUCAGGUCUUAGAAACGAGGCAUAGAAUCCCGGCAUCAAGGUACUUCCACAGCGGCAUCUUCGAGUCCUCUCGGGGUAGAAGCCACUCCUUUGUUCAUUCAAUCUUAUCUUAAUUCUUGUUAGUGACUAGGUUUAGUUGUAUGCUCUGAACACAUUCCUAAAUUGUUAAUUCAUUGUUUUUUUUUUUACUUCAUAACCCGUAUUUAUUUCUUAUUCCUAGCUUUUGCAUUUAAUAAAUGGCUUUCGUCACCCUCGGGUGUCGGCCACCACGUGCCUAUCCUGGUAUUCGGGUAAUAUCAAGGUCGGGGCGUGUCAUAAUCGCGGGCCGCGGUUACCCAUAACCGCGGGUAUUUUGCUCAUCCCUACUCCUUAUAUUGUCAAUUGAUUUUAUGGUAAAAUUUCAACUUCUUCAUGGUAUUAAAGCAGGUUGUCCCUUGUCACUUCACUUGUCACAGCCCGUCCCGAGAUUUUCAUCAGGAAAUGUGAAAUGACAGAAUUACCCUCGGACGUUAUUUGGGGUGUGACUUACAUUUGGUUUAAUUUCAGGAUCUUUGGAACCAAUUAGAACUAAGAUCCUUCUUAGUUUUGGUUGGUGGCUUUUUAGACCACACAACUCCCUAUCACUCUCUCUCUUCUAUCCCGUGUAUCUCUCCAUUCUCUCAGAACUCUCUAUCUCUCCCUGUCGAACCGUACGGACACAUUCACCCACGAUCAUCCAAGCACGGAUCGAAGGUUUCAAGGGUACCAUUGUACUCGUCAGGACCCUACGAACUCACCCAUACGCAUUUCAGGACAAUCCAAGCUCACAGUGAGCUUUAGGAGGUUCUCACGAAGCUCGGGGACGUUCGUUUG